UUUGUUAAAUGUACAACUAAUUGUUAUCCUUGGUUGAUUUCACUGUGACAACUUCUGCACAACUAAAUUCACAAAAUACAGACUUAAGUUUGCCACGUAGACUCAGCCAUCCUUUUGAUUAUUCAGCACUUUCUGAGCUUGCACCCUCUUGACUCCAGGCUUUGUGAGGCAUAGACAGAGUACGUGGAAAGAGAAAAGUCAGUAAAAAGAUGAAAAUGCUGUGGCGUGGUUGGAGGGAGUGGCAUAGGGUGAUGGGGACUCCUGCCCAAGGAGGAAAAUAUGGCCUCUGUGCCCAAAGUCUUCUCUUGAGUCAGUAAAAUCUAUUUGUUUGUCCUUAAGCACGAGCCUGCUUAUUCUGUGAUUAGGAGAAUCAGAAAAAAGAAAUUAUCAGAUGAGAGUUGUUGUUGUUUCCCACCAGAAAUAUCCCUCA
RNAcentral lists this long non-coding RNA (430 nucleotides) under Bos taurus (domestic cattle). RNAcentral's name for it is "long non-coding RNA NONBTAT018810". Lineage: Eukaryota; Metazoa; Chordata; Mammalia; Artiodactyla; Bovidae. The record is from RNAcentral.